This 957-nucleotide long non-coding RNA is filed under the name Homo sapiens (human). RNAcentral describes it as "HSALNT0061841". Lineage: Eukaryota; Metazoa; Chordata; Mammalia; Primates; Hominidae. The record is from RNAcentral.
GCAAGGCACCGGGCAGUAGGAGAAGUGGGGCACCAAGCUGGAAUUCAUUUUAUUUUCUCCUGUCCCCACCAGUCCCCUUCUCCCGCCCCCAAAAUGGGGGAGGGGAGAAGAUGUUGAUUUCUUAAACUUCCAGGGAGGAGGAGCGAGAAAACCCUAACUAAGGAGAGUACAAACAAUGGCUGCUAAACUAAUUAAUGUAACUUCACAGGCUGUUCUGGAAGUGUGAAAACUUUCUCCUUGCAGUUGUAUUAAUUAGAGAUGCUCUGGCCAGAGGAGUUCAAUUUUGCAGGCUCUUGAACGAUACUCCUUUUUUUCUGUUAACUAGAAGUAGCAGAUGUAGUUGACACAUGUCCCCAUUUCCCUUAGCAGCUUGGUAAAUGAUAUUUAAGGUGGAUAGGUCUGUGCUAAAGCGAAAGUGAGGGUCCACCAAACAUCCCUAGUGUCCGGCCACCAAGGCUCAAAAAUACGUACAAAGUUAGCCCAUUCGACCCCCAACUCCUAAAGAAGGCUCCAGGGCCUGGUAACCUCUCAGUCCAGGUGGGCCAGGUUAUCAGGACUACAGGUGGAAGAGUUCUGCUGCGCAAUUCCAAAGGGACAAGGAAAAAAGUUAGACAGCUGUUCUUAUGUCUUUACGACUUUGGGGAACAAUGCUGUUUUAAAAUAUCUUAAAAUCAAACUCUUAAGCAGAGAGCACAUGUUUGCACACACAGGGUCUUAGGCACGUUCACCCUUGUCCCCCCCAGAACAGAAAUCCCGCACUAUCCUCCCUACACACAGCCUCCGGAAACUUCUGUGAUUCUAAGAAUAGAAGCGCAUAAUUAAUAUUUUAUGGCCUUGGCUCAUGGAAACAACCCCAAAAUAUUUCCCCCUCCCCUCAGUUGGGACUUGAGGAAAUCCAGACCCGAGGGCCUGCUUCCCCAGAGGGUCCGCACGCGACAGACAGCGCCGAAUACUGAC